CCAAUAUAGAAUGUUUAUUGUACCAUAUCCCCUCUUCAUUCUAGCCCUGACAUCUUCCAGGAAAAAAAAAGUGCAACAUAUCAGCUUGAUGACAAAUGAGAAUGCCUCCCUUUGAAGUUUCUGAAAAUAAUGUGAAAGAUUAGGAAAACAGUACUGCCUCCCACUACAUUCUGUGUUUUCUUCCUCUCUUCUGCUGCAAGAGAUAUUGGAGGAAAAUGUGCAAUGACCAAGAUUUGUACUGGCUAACAGGAAAUGGGAUAUGGAUUUGUUUUACUAUUUCUCCACUGACAUCAGAGAUUAUGACAACAAACAUGGCCAGCCAUGGAUCAGAACGAUGGAGCACUUCAGAUCCAGAAUGUGUCUGAAUAUGAGUCAGAAUGUGUAUGUAGAACAUCAAACAGAAGACGGUAUGCAGAGACUGAUGAGGCACUGGAGGAAGUUGCCCAGAGAGGUGAUGCCUCUGGAGACAUUCAAGGUCAAACUGGACGGAUUUUGAGCAACCUGAUCUAGCUGUAGGCCUCCCUUUUCAUUGCAGGGGAGUUGGUCUAGAUGACCUUUAAGGGCCCUUUCCAAUGCUAAGAAUUCUAUGAUUGUAAUUAAAAAUAUACUUUCAAUUUGCAUUAGUGAUAUAUUCACACAAGUUACAGAGAGCUUUUAGGAUAGACUUGACAUUAAAAUCUAAAAAAA
RNAcentral lists this long non-coding RNA (687 nucleotides) under Coturnix japonica (Japanese quail). RNAcentral's name for it is "lncRNA (ENSCJPG00005004652.1)". The record is from RNAcentral. Lineage: Eukaryota; Metazoa; Chordata; Aves; Galliformes; Phasianidae.